GUCUACACCAUACCACACUGAACGCACCCAAUCUUCUCUGACCUCCAAAGCAAAGCAAGCUAGGGCCUGGUUCGUACUUGGAUGGGAGAUGGUAUGAACUCUACCUGGAACUGAGGUCGUUUCUUGACU
RNAcentral lists this ribosomal RNA (129 nucleotides) under Fukomys damarensis (Damara mole-rat). Lineage: Eukaryota; Metazoa; Chordata; Mammalia; Rodentia; Bathyergidae. The record is from RNAcentral.